Molecule: small nuclear RNA, 179 nt
Filed under: Nomascus leucogenys (northern white-cheeked gibbon)
Lineage: Eukaryota; Metazoa; Chordata; Mammalia; Primates; Hylobatidae
Description: U2 spliceosomal RNA
Rfam family: U2 spliceosomal RNA
About the family: U2 is a small nuclear RNA (snRNA) component of the spliceosome (involved in pre-mRNA splicing).
Source: Rfam by way of RNAcentral
AUUGCUUCUCAGCCUUUUGGCUAAGAUCAAGUGUAGAAUAUAUCCUCAUCAUUAAGUGAUACAUGACUGUAACUCGGGAGCAAUUAAUUGCCUUAUAUAUGUGAAUAGUUAAGUAUGAAAGUACACAUUUGGAUAUGCCGUUUUCUUCUCGUAUUCUCAGGGAAAUGUGUCUUGCUUUU